AAGUCAAUGCUUCUCCGACUCCUC
RNAcentral lists this non-coding RNA (24 nucleotides) under Arabidopsis thaliana (thale cress). Lineage: Eukaryota; Viridiplantae; Streptophyta; Magnoliopsida; Brassicales; Brassicaceae. The record is from RNAcentral.